AGUGAACGCUGGCGGUAGGCCUAACACAUGCAAGUCGAACGGCAGCACAGUAAGAGCUUGCUCUUACGGGUGGCGAGUGGCGGACGGGUGAGGAAUACAUCGGAAUCUACUUUUUCGUGGGGGAUAACGUAGGGAAACUUACGCUAAUACCGCAUACGACCUACGGGUGAAAGCAGGGGAUCUUCGGACCUUGCGCGAUUGAAUGAGCCGAUGUCGGAUUAGCUAGUUGGCGGGGUAAAGGCCCACCAAGGCGACGAUCCGUAGCUGGUCUGAGAGGAUGAUCAGCCACACUGGAACUGAGACACGGUCCAGACUCCUACGGGAGGCAGCAGUGGGGAAUAUUGGACAAUGGGCGCAAGCCUGAUCCGGCCAUACCGCGUGGGUGAAGAGGGCCUUCGGGUUGUAAAGCCCUUUUGUUGGGAAAGAAAAGCAGCAGGUUAAUACCCCGCUGUUCUGACGGUACCCAAAGAAUAAGCACCGGCUAACUUCGUG
Molecule: ribosomal RNA, 492 nt
Filed under: uncultured bacterium
Lineage: Bacteria
Description: partial 16S ribosomal RNA
Rfam family: Bacterial small subunit ribosomal RNA
Source: RNAcentral